Molecule: transfer RNA, 68 nt
Filed under: Clavatula tripartita
Lineage: Eukaryota; Metazoa; Mollusca; Gastropoda; Neogastropoda; Clavatulidae
Description: tRNA-Met
Rfam family: tRNA
About the family: Transfer RNA (tRNA) molecules are approximately 80 nucleotides in length. Their secondary structure includes four short double-helical elements and three loops (D, anti-codon, and T loops). Further hydrogen bonds mediate the characteristic L-shaped molecular structure. tRNAs have two regions of fundamental functional importance: the anti-codon, which is responsible for specific mRNA codon recognition, and the 3' end, to which the tRNAs corresponding amino acid is attached (by aminoacyl-tRNA synthetases). tRNAs cope with the degeneracy of the genetic code in two manners: having more than one tRNA (with a specific anti-codon) for a particular amino acid; and 'wobble' base-pairing, i.e. permitting non-standard base-pairing at the 3rd anti-codon position.
Source: RNAcentral
UGUAAAAUAAGCUAAAUAUUAAGCUAUUGGGCUCAUACCCCGAAAAUGAAUUCUAAAUUCUUUUACAA